GUAUUUCUUUUGCGAACACAAUAGAACCAUUAUCCUCUGAAAAGCAUGUUUUCAGAGGUGAAAGCGUGGUUCUUUCUUGUAAGUACAGUGGCAACGUAAAUAAUCUGCAGUGGUAUCGUCAAUAUCCUGGAUCUCGACCAGAGCACCUCAUUCUCAUCACAGAAUAUUCAGAACCUGAUCUUUCACGUCGUCUGUCAGCAAAAGCUACAAAAGACCUAAAACAAGUGAAUCUUACAAUCUCCUCUGCUGAAGAGACAGAUUCUGCUCUGUACUACUGUGCCCUGGUGCCCACAGUGACAGGAAACCUGAAAACACUGUACAAAAACCUUACAAUCUUACCUGUACAUAAACCUAAAAAAUAAAUCUGAAUCCUCAGCAAUGAAAGCUUGAUGUUGCAUGAAAUAAAAUACUGAAUAACAUUUUACAAGUGCAAACAUUUGUCCAAUGUCUUUCAAUCAAACAGCAGCAACAAACUGAACAAAGCAGAGUAUCAUCUUCACAUCGAAGAAACAGUGAUAUACAGCUGGGGUCUGAGACCACUACUAAAAAAAGCUAUUUUUCAUAUUUGUUUAACUUGUUUUUUUUUUUUUUUUUUUCAUUACAUACAUAUUUAUUCAUUCCACCUAACUGUAUCAUGAAGCUGAAAAGUUUGAAACAGUCAUUCAAGUUUGACCCACAAGAGGGUGCUCUUCUGAGCUGAGAAGCUGCUUCACUGUACUACAGUACUAAACUCUUAUAAAGAUCUUAUAUAUAGUCACCGAAGAUACCUGUAUUCCUGAUAAGCUAAAUCUUUCAUUAAAGAAAAAGUAAUUAUGAAAGUAUGAAUAUAACAUACUGUAGUAGCCUCAACACAAAGAUGUCUGUUGUUGCCCACAGGGUGGAGCUCUGCAGUCUGAUGCUCAAGCUCAGACUAAAUGUGACUGACAACAAGGUUGAGUUUGACACUUCAAGCUUUCUGUCUACUGAACAGUGACCAUGUUUACUGUUGUCUUUAUUGUAUUUCCACUGCUCACUGAAAGUGCUGGUGCAUAUACAAUAGAAUCUCUCUCACCAGAAAAGCAUGUUUUAGUUGGACAAAAUGCUGUUAUCUCUUGCAAAUACAGUGGCAUUGGGCCAAGCUUUAAGUGGUAUCGCCAAUAUCCAAGAUCCAGACCAGAGUACCUUACUUAUAGCACAGAGACUGUGUUUUCAUCCGAACCUACUUUACGUCUCAAAGCAGUGGCUAAAAAAGCAAUCACAGAAGUGGAACUGGAGAUCUCCUCUGCUGAAGUCAAAGACUCUGCUGUGUAUUACUGUGCCCUGGUGCCCACAGUGACAGGAAACCCACUUGCACUGUACAAAAACUCUGAUUUCAGUGGAAUCAUUUUGUAUUGUGAUGUAACAAGUUUAUUUUUUUCUUCAAAAUUGCAAAUAAACUAA
RNAcentral lists this long non-coding RNA (1419 nucleotides) under Carassius auratus (goldfish). RNAcentral describes it as "lncRNA (ENSCARG00000006190.1)". Lineage: Eukaryota; Metazoa; Chordata; Actinopteri; Cypriniformes; Cyprinidae. The record is from RNAcentral.